This 282-nucleotide long non-coding RNA is filed under the name Hordeum vulgare. RNAcentral's name for it is "long non-coding RNA (HVUL_LNC012922)". The record is from RNAcentral. Lineage: Eukaryota; Viridiplantae; Streptophyta; Magnoliopsida; Poales; Poaceae.
UCUAAUUGGUGCUUUUGUAAGAGGAGGAUGACUCAAGAGGAACAUAAAUAGACAGGCCCUUCGCAGAGGGAAGCAUUGAUUUGCAGAGGUGCCAGAGCUCAAGCUUUGAAAACAGAGAUUAUAAUUUUGGGUGGCAUGCUUUAAUUGUCAACGCAAUGACUAAGAGUUCUCAACAUCUUCCACGCUACACAUGCUAUAGGCGGUUCCCAAACAGAAAAGUAAAGUUUUGACUCCCCCACCACCAACCAAUCACACUCCACGGCUAGCCGAAUCCUUGGGUAC